RNAcentral lists this ribosomal RNA (1015 nucleotides) under uncultured bacterium. Its description in RNAcentral is "bacterial SSU rRNA". It matches the Rfam family "Bacterial small subunit ribosomal RNA", at positions 353 to 1371 of the family's 1533-position model. The record is from RNAcentral.
AGUGAGGAAUAUUGGGCAAUGGAGGCAACUCUGACCCAGCCAUGUCGCGUGCAGGAAGACAGUUCUAUGAAUUGUAAACUGCUUUUAUACGGGAAGAAACACAAAGACGUUUCUUUGUCUGCCUGUACCGUACGAAUAAGCAUCGGCUAACUCCGUGCCAGCAGCCGCGGUAAUACGGAGGAUGCGAGCGUUAUCCGGAUUCAUUGGGUUUAAAGGGUGCGUAGGCGGAAUAAUAAGUCAGGGGUGAAAGUUUGCGGCUCAACCGUAAAAUUGCCUUUGAUACUGUUAUUCUUGAGUACACGCGAGGUAUGCGGAAUGUGAUGUGUAGCGGUGAAAUGCUUAGAUAUAUCACAGAACACCGAUUGCGAAGGCAGCAUACUAGAGUGUCACUGACGCUGAUGCACGAAAGCGUGGGUAUCGAACAGGAUUAGAUACCCUGGUAGUCCACGCCGUAAACGAUGGUUACUAGCUGUUUGCGAUACAUAGCAAGUGGCAAAGCGAAAGCAUUAAGUAACCCACCUGGGGAGUACGUUGGCAACGAUGAAACUCAAAGGAAUUGACGGGGGCCCGCACAAGCGGUGGAACAUGUGGUUUAAUUCGAUGAUACGCGAGGAACCUUACCUGGACUUAAAUGUAGAUUGCAUAGAGUAGAGAUAUUCUUUUCUUCGGACUAUUUACAAGGUGCUGCAUGGUUGUCGUCAGCUCGUGCCGUGAGGUGUCGGGUUAAGUCCCAUAACGAGCGCAACCCCUAUCGUUAGUUGCCAUCAGGUUAAGCUGGGGACUCUAACGAGACUGCCGGUGUAAACCGCGAGGAAGGUGGGGAUGACGUCAAAUCAGCACGGCCCUUACGUCCAGGGCUACACACGUGUUACAAUGGCCGGUACAAAGGGCAGCUACCCCGCGAGGGGAUGCGAAUCUCAAAAACCGGUCACAGUUCGGAUCGGAGUCUGCAACCCGACUCCGUGAAGCUGGAAUCGCUAGUAAUCGCGCAUCAGCCAUGGCGCGGUGAAUACGU